UAGAACCCCGACAGGAUAGCCCCGAUAGG
RNAcentral lists this small RNA (29 nucleotides) under Bombyx mori (domestic silkworm). RNAcentral describes it as "ovarian small RNA-6242". The record is from RNAcentral. Lineage: Eukaryota; Metazoa; Arthropoda; Insecta; Lepidoptera; Bombycidae.